AUUGAGCGCUGGCGGCAGGCCUAACACAUGCAAGUCGAACGGUAACAGGAAGAAGCUUGCUUCUUUGCUGACGAGUGGCGGACGGGUGAGUAAUGUCUGGGAAACUGCCUGAUGGAGGGGGAUAACUACUGGAAACGGUAGCUAAUACCGCAUAACGUCGCAAGACCAAAGAGGGGGACCUUCGGGCCUCUUGCCAUCGGAUGUGCCCAGAUGGGAUUAGCUAGUAGGUGGGGUAACGGCUCACCUAGGCGACGAUCCCUAGCUGGUCUGAGAGGAUGACCAGCCACACUGGAACUUGGACACGGUCCAGACUCCUACGGGAGGCAGCAGUGGGGAAUAUUGCACAAUGGGCGCAAGCCUGAUGCAGCCAUGCCGCGUGUAUGAAGAAGGCCUUCGGGUUGUAAAGUACUUUCAGCGGAGAGGAAGGGAGUAAAGUUAAUACCUUUGCUCAUUGACGUUACCCGCAGAAGAAGCACCGGCUAACUCCGUG
Molecule: ribosomal RNA, 490 nt
Filed under: uncultured bacterium
Lineage: Bacteria
Description: partial 16S ribosomal RNA
Rfam family: Bacterial small subunit ribosomal RNA
Source: RNAcentral